This 447-nucleotide ribosomal RNA is filed under the name uncultured bacterium. Its description in RNAcentral is "SSU rRNA". It matches the Rfam family "Bacterial small subunit ribosomal RNA", at positions 26 to 518 of the family's 1533-position model. The record is from RNAcentral.
AGAGCGAACGCUGGCGGCAGGCCUAACACAUGCAAGUCGAGCGCCCGUAGCAAUACGGGAGCGGCAGACGGGAUAGUAACACGUGGGAACGCGCCCUUCGGUUCGGAAUAACUCAGGGAAACUUGAGCUAAUACCGAAUACGCCCUUACGGGGAAAGAUUUAUUGCCGAAGGAACGGCCCGCGUCCGAUUAGCUAGUUGGUGAGGUAAUGGCUCACCAAGGCUACGAUCGGUAGCUGGUCUGAGAGGAUGACCAGCAUCACUGGGACUGAGACACGGCCCAGACUCCUACGGGAGGCAGCAGUGGGGAAUAUUGGACAAUGGCGCAAGCCUGAUCCAGCCAUGCCGCGUGGAUGAUGAAGGCCUUAGGGUUGUAAAGUCCUUUUAACGGGGAAGAUAAUGACGGUACCCGUAGAAUAAGCCCCGGCUAACUUCGUGCCAGCAGCCGC